UCCCUCUUUCUCUCUCUUUUUUCUUAUUCAUUGGGCGUAAAGGGCGCGUAGGCGGCGGGGUAAGUCUGGUGUGAAAUCUCGGGGCUCAACUCCGAAAUUGCACUGGAUACUGCUCUGCUAGAGGGCUGGAGAGGAGAUCGGAAUUCACGGUGUAGCAGUGAAAUGCGUAGAUAUCGUGAGGAAGACCAGUGGCGAAGGCGGAUCUCUGGACAGCUCCUGACGCUGAGGCGCGAAGGCUAGGGGAGCAAACGGG
This 253-nucleotide ribosomal RNA is filed under the name uncultured bacterium. RNAcentral describes it as "partial 16S ribosomal RNA". It matches the Rfam family "Bacterial small subunit ribosomal RNA", at positions 549 to 776 of the family's 1533-position model. The record is from RNAcentral.